RNAcentral lists this ribosomal RNA (397 nucleotides) under uncultured bacterium. Its description in RNAcentral is "partial 16S ribosomal RNA". It matches the Rfam family "Bacterial small subunit ribosomal RNA", at positions 523 to 918 of the family's 1533-position model. The record is from RNAcentral.
AUACGUAGGGGGCGAGCGUUGUCCGGAAUGAUUGGGCGUAAAGGGCGCGUAGGCGGCCUGUUAAGUCUGGAGUGAAAGUCCUGUUUUCAAGAUGGGAAUUGCUUUGGAUACUGAUGGGCUUGAGUGCAGGAGAGGUUAUCGGAAUUCCCGGUGUAGCGGCGAAAUGCGUAGAGAUCGGGAGGAACACCAGUGGCGAAGGCGGGUAACUGGACUGCAACUGACGCUGAGGCGCGAAAGUGUGGGGAGCAAACAGGAUUAGAUACCCUGGUAGUCCACACUGUAAACGAUGAAUGCUAGGUGUAAGAGGUAUCGACCCCUUUUGUGCCGGAGUCAACACAAUAAGCAUUCCGCCUGGGGAGUACGGCCGCAAGGUUGAAACUCAAAUGAAUUGACGGGG